This 407-nucleotide ribosomal RNA is filed under the name uncultured bacterium. RNAcentral's name for it is "bacterial SSU rRNA". It matches the Rfam family "Bacterial small subunit ribosomal RNA", at positions 355 to 776 of the family's 1533-position model. The record is from RNAcentral.
UGGGGAAUAUUGGGCAAUGGGGGCAACCCUGACCCAGCAACGCCGCGUGAGGGAUGAAGGCCUUCGGGUUGUAAACCUCUGUCCUCGGGGACGAAGAAAAUGACGGUACCCGGGGAGGAAGCUCCGGCUAACUACGUGCCAGCAGCCGCGGUAAUACGUAGGGAGCGAGCGUUGUCCGGAAUCACUGGGCGUAAAGGGUGCGUAGGCGGUUUGGUAAGUCAGAUGUGAAAUACCCGGGCUUAACUCGGGGGCUGCAUCUGAUACUGUCAGACUUGAGUACAGGAGAGGAAAGUGGAAUUCCUAGUGUAGCGGUGAAAUGCAUAGAUAUUAGGAGGAACACCAGUGGCGAAGGCGGCUUUCUGGACUGUAACUGACGCUGAGGCACGAAAGCGUGGGGAGCAAACAGG